CAUGAAAUUCAAAGUUCACGUUCAGACAAGCUAAACUAAUCUCCUUCGAGAAUCUUUCACGCUCCGCCUUCAAUCACCGAGGGAUUAAAGCAAGAAAAAUCACGGAUUCCAUCUCUGUUCUUUUCAAUCACUUACUUUAAUUUGUAACAGAAAUUAACUUUAAGAUGACCCCUCAUCGAUCGUCAAGUUGAAUGUCGUCUCGAGCAUAAAAGGCGAAAUUGAUAGAGGUUUCGAACUCUCUGCUGUUACAACAUAAUCCUGGAAUUUCAAGUUUCAGACCGAGGGAGUUCUACAUAUUAACAAGGAGGAUACAACUUUGUAACUGGUCGUCGGUUGUCCACAAGCUGUUGGCGAACUUCAGCGCGGAUAAAUUGGGAAUACAGGUCGCGGCCAGUUUAUGCCUCACGUAUUACACGCGAAGUGCUCGGCAACUCCAGCCGUGGCCAUAUUCGGAAUACAGCUCGUGAUCAGUCGGUUGCCUCUCGCGAAUGUUCGUAUAUAUCUGCCAGCACGGCUCCCAGUGCACGAAUUUAUUCGCGAGACAGGCGAAUUGUGUCGUCCGAAUAAUAAUCGUGCGCUUUUAUCUCGAGCUGCCACAGACCGAGCUGCGGAUGAAGUUUAAAGGUCGCUUUACGUUAUGCGUCACGUUUACAUCACGUUCAAACAUUUCUCUGACAAACAGUUACCUAUCAUAAUUUAAGUUUCUAAACAUAUCUGCAAACUUGCAAAUUACUCAUCAGGAACGAUUAAGAUGAGAUAAAAAAAUUUUACUUUUUGUAACUUGAACUCUGACAUGUUGGAAUAACAGCCGAGUCUAGAUUUAUCGCAAACUUGAUCGUGACGAGGCAAGAUGUAACAUUUUGCAUAAUGCGAAUCAAUUCUAAACCCGACCGUACGCGCUGCCGGCGCUUUCGCGGUAGCUUACCACGUUACCGUUAUGAACGUCGAGCUUUAAUUACGAUGGUGGAAUCCGAGCGAAAUAUAAUCGCCGUUCGUAAGGUCGUAGCUUCGCGGGAAUCGGCUACUAUUUGCCGCCAAAUUACUUUCGUACGUGAUACCGGAAUAUACGGCGGUGCUCGCACUCGCACACGUAUUCCGCUAUCACACCAACGGGACGAGGUAGCGCGGGAUGCAGAAAUUGCACGACAGGUGGAAAUGUCGUUUCGAGCGCAAAACACAAAGCUGCACCCGGCAAUGGAAACUCGUCGAAGGAUACUUGGCCGCUUUACAGUCGCGUAAUUGCACUCGUAUCGAAAUACCGGCAAGUCGCUUCCUUUUUUUUACGCGCAAGCUAAAUAUUUUCCAGGCUUAGCGAGAUUUUUCCGUCCACGAAUCGUAGCUUCGACUUUACGAAGCUGUUUGCCCGCGUACUCGCUGCAUAUUUUACAACAUUUCGUCACGUUGGAAAUACACAUUCGCGUACGGUAUUUCGAGAAAUCGAACACUCGAGAUAUGGCGAUUUGCCUAACGGCCGUUUCAUGUUUUAUUUGCGAAUACGAUCUUUACGUCAUUUAGUACUGAUCAAUAUUAAUUGUGUUGCAACACACAUACUUGCUUCGAUUAUUUAGAAAGAGAUAACUCGUUAAUUAAACAAUACAUUACAUAUAUAAAUAAACAAAGCAUAUCAUAUAAAAUAGAUUGAUAUUUUCAGAAAAGAAGUAAAUUGAUAGAAUGUCAUUAUUAUUAGAAAUCGAUAUCAGUUUAUUACACUACACUGCAAAAUACUCAGCGAGAUUAUAAUUUCAAUCCCUGCACACUAUUGCAUUGCAUUGACGCAACGGCAUUUCGCCGCAAUCGGAUACGAUAGGCAAAUGUGUCGACCGACUCUCAUCGAUAUGUAAAGGUAUUCGUAAAUAUGGAUUAUUCGUCAUCCAGACAGAGACACCGGUAUCCCAUAAAUAAAAGUUCGUCGGCAUAUCGAUAGCGGAUAAGGCGCUUCACUUCAGCAAUUUAAUCUAUUCUUCUCUCGUGUAUACGGCCGCCUCGCUCUCGGUAGUCGCGCGCGAUUGAUUUUUCCUGCAAUGCACCGACGAGCUGCCGAGUAAUUACGUACCGUUGACGUUUAAUGGGAGCGACAUUAUUGGAUUCUCGUUACUCCGACAUUUAUUCCCGGCCGUGUUAAGACUGCGUUUUUUUACGCGGAGACUCGAAGCGCAACGUCGGAAAACGAGCGUCUUUAUAUCCGCGCGAAUAAAACCGGUAUGCAACACUUUGAGCUCAUUCUGCCUCUCAUUCGCGAGUCGCGCAGAUAAUUAUUCGACCUUUCGAAUCGAGUAUUCAUCCGCAAGUGUGUGCGUGUGUUAAUAUUAAAAUUACAAAUAUCCACUCUCUCUACUUUUGAUACCAUCAGCCGGAAUAUGCCGUCUUGAUAGACUAGAAAGGCUAGCGUAGUAGCUCGUAGCGCUAAAGUAUCCAACGGACACAUUAAGCGUUUUAUAUCGUCGAUGAUGUAUGCGCAACGUUAUUUCAUCGUGGAUGAACGUAACUGGAUUUGCAGAAAAAAAUAAAACAUAAAUGUCUGCGCGUAAAUAAUCGCCCAUAAAAGAAAUGGCUAGCGCGUAUCCACGCGAUCACCAUAAAUCGUCACUUGGCGACUCCGGAUAACUAAUCAACCUCCCUCGAUUGAUUUAAUUGGACCGAACGACCGCCUCCCGAUUGAAAUGGCGAGACAUUUCCCGAGACGCGUGAUUCAAUCCGCUCGGUAUUUAGCAUCGACGACGAGGACGGCGAUGACGAAGACGACGACGAUGACGACAACGACUCGCUGUUCGAUUCCUAGACGGCCGGCUGAACGUCGAGAGCGCGGACCGCGCUCUUAAUUUAUGCGCAAUCACUCGGCCGUUCGAUUUAUUUGUUUUAUAAGCCGCCCGUAAUUGCCCACUGACAGCAGCUGUCCCAAGACCGACUACAAUAUCCGCGAUACAUUAUUCAUGCCGCGACGAUUCCCCCUCGCGUACACGGCGGUCCCCCCGAACUCGUCCAACUUCUGCUCUUCGUCGUCUCGCUUGUCUGCAGUCGCACGCGCGAUACGACCAACUGCUCUCCACGUGACACGCUCUAUCGCCUUGCCGCACGCACGCACCAUGCACGCACGUACGCACACCAAUCUCUUCGCCACUGCCCGCUGCUUCAUCGAAACUUGCGCGUAACGCAUCGGGCUCCUCCGACACUGGCUGACCUAUGUAGCGCUCAACUUGACGUCCACGCGCGGGGACAGGUAUUUCCCCGGUGACCGGAUUUCCGAAGCUCCGAUACAUUUUCGAGACGAGUGCUUGAUUUUUCUACCGGGGCAGGAAGGAAUACUCGACUCGACAACAUACUUUGGCCUGUCCAUGAAGACCAAAAAGAUCUGAAGAAUAUCCUGCGAGCCGUUUUAAUUCCUCGGACAUAUUCCAGGGCAAUGUUUCCGCGACCCAGGUUCGACAGUUCCACCAAAUACGGACACGUCUCGGGAAUUGAAAUAAAGGAUUGGGGUUAUAAAUCGGGGGCGAGGGACGGCGACGGUGGACAAACGUCGAUUCCCGUGAAAUUGAUCGCUGCGGCGGACCCGGUACACGGACACAGUGUGUCGAGGAUAAUAAUCGUUCGUUCGUGACAAUCGAUGGCAGCUUCAUCGGCAGCGGGCGAUGGAUCUUCACAAUCGGAGGGGAGCUUUCGAAAGCUCGUUUACAACGACCGAUGACGACGAAUGGCUAGCCGUGAAACCUGUGAAUCUUUUGACCGGCUUCGUCGGCCGACACACAUGCACACACGCGAAAGAGUCAGGACUGUAGCUAUUUUAAAGAUAAAAUGAUAUAGUGGACUUUCAAAAUUCUACCAGCCCCGCAUUCCCUCCAGUAGUUCUCCAAUUUCCACGAGGUAAUCUAAUAUAACUUCACGUUGAAAAAUUAACAAAUAAAGAAAAAUGAACAGAGACAAGAUAAAAAGAUAAUUACUAUACGAAAGAUAACAAGAAAAAGAAGAAUACAAGAAAGCACAGUAAUUAUAUUUUAUAAUCACAUUCUUACUAAAGCAGCUGCUAAUGACGCAAUUAAUAAAUCAGCGUGAAAUAUUGAUAAAGCAGAAUAGAAAAUAAACUAAUAUUACUACUCAACAAAUUCCAAAUAGAAAGAGUUGUGUUUCUUCACUUAUUCCGAUUAAUAUUUAAGUUAGAAAGAAAGAAAAAGUAAAUCCAACACGUUUUUAACGUAGUCAUCAGAAUCUGGUAGUUCAAGAUACAUUACUGAAUCACAUUCUCGACUUUCGCAUCCGAGGCUAAGGCCGCUUAUGCGAUCGUCCACACGACGGCAUUUAAUCUCGUUUGACGGACGAUUUGUCGCAUUUACGCCAACGUGGUGAAAAGAAUGGUUAAAGGGUGCCGUCGUCGAUCGAUGGUCAGGCUACACUCGUUUUAAAUGCGCGCUUGGAUGACGUACAGGGUCUAUGUGUGCAAUAAAUACUUUUUUUGAAUUUACUUUUCUAAUAAAAUACCAGCUCAUAAAAACACUGUCUUUUUAUUUACUUUAAAAAAAUUAAUUUAACUAGCUCUGUUUUAAUUCUGUUAAAUGUAAAAUAUAAUUCUGCUUAAAAACUAUGUUGCGUUGAUAAAUAUUCUAAUAGCUUCGAGAAAAGGUUUCCUUCACGGCAUUUUUACCCUUCGAAACCAUUCAAACUUUACCCAAAUAUUUUCCGUACCUUCAAAAUCUGAGGGUCGUAUCUGGGUGUUCUGUUUCAAGGGGAUCUCUUUGUAUGACAGCAGCUCGACAUAAUAUCUCAGGUCCUAGUAACCGUAAAAACCAUGCCUGCCGAUGGGUGAUCGACAAAAGGUACGUCACGCAAAACUCUGUCAACCGAAUCGAUUCUCAAGUGACUCGCGCUGCAUUUCGUGUCAUGUCGCAACUCGAUGCGAUUACUAUGAUUAUCGCGUGUAGCAGUAGACACGAAAUGUACAUGCCAGUGUUACACUUUCGACUCAAAACCAAAGCACAAAUUUGUUUCAAAAGAACAAGAAACAUUCCGGAAAAAGUUGCGUUUAUGAAGACAAAAAUCGCAUUCAAUUUUUUUGAGAAAAAGACUAUAGUUUAUAAUCUUUUGAUAUGAUUUAUAUAAAAUCGUAAGAAAGUGCACUUAUCGUAUAUAUACAUCUACAUAUGCAAUAAAAAUUCUUAAUUUUCUUUUAAUCCAAAUAAAAAUAACAAUUUUCCGAAAAAGAUUAUGCCUGAUGUACUCAAUAUAUGUUUGAAAAUAAAAAUACAUUUGAUACACAGAUGAAUCAUUUCGAGUAUAGCUCAUUUACGGAAGGCUGCGCUCCCCCAACCAUUCCGUCGACCGAUUAUAUCCCAUCAGGUCAGCCCCGGUGCAAUGUUGGCAACCCCAGAGCACUUGGUUGGUUUCGAUAAUCGAUCGGCUCGAUAGUGUCGGGAAAAAUCAGGCUCGCCUGUUCGUCUAAGCGCCCUUUAAUUAUGUUUUCUCAGUUUAUUGCUUAACGAGCGCCUCUCGCGAUCACGAUCCGUUCGCUUGUCUGCCAUUAACCGAUAUCGAUUAGGCGUUCGGUUAAGCAGCGUAAUCUGCACGUGCGAUUGUGGCGAAAGAAAACAAAAUCUGAAAUACUCCCGAGUUUAUGAUAGAUUAAGCUCGACUGCGUUACGCUUCUUGCAAAAUUCAAUAUUUGUGCUACGAAAGUAAAUCACGAACAACCAGUGAACAAAUCUUUUUUAUUGCAUGAUAGCGAAUAUUAAUAUUAAUAUCUUUUCCUGAACUUUUCAAGCAAAUCGAUUUUUUAUAACGCUCCAUGAAACAAAGUUUUUUUCAGAAACAAGAAAAAUCAUGAGUACGACGAUCCAUGCAAUUAAUGCGUUACAUUUUAUUUUGCGGCGGAAGUUACUUGAACAUUUGAACUCAAUUAACCGUGACUUUAGUCGCACCGCACGUUCUCGUUAGCACGACUCGUCCGAAUUAACUUCUUAUAAUUUAUAGCAACGAGAACUGGGAGAUUCGUAUCUCUCGUUGUUUCAAAUUAAUACGACAAAGAGAGACGGCAAGAAACGACCACUUUGCAUUUUCAUAACCAUUUCAAGAACUUUGAAAAAAUUUUCGCUUACUUACAUUUUACAACGAGUUUGCAAUGAGAAAACUUCUAUAAAUACGUAAGAUAUUUAUCUAUAUGUGCACAAAACGUUAUACACUAUUUAAUUAAACUUCAUCAUUGAAGAUAACGAGAUUGUUCCUCGUUAAAGGACAGCAAAUAUGAUUCAACAGCGACGCAAGAUACAGAAAGAUAUGUGUACCUUCCGUGAAGAGAUAGGCGAUAUCGCGAAUGCCUAUGCGAAUAUCUGUGUCCGUUCGACUGACAAUUAUUCUCGACAACGAGAGUAAUAACUCGGACAAUUUUAUUUUACACGCCUACGCAACCGCGCGCGCGUGUUUCUGUAUGCAUUGAUAAUUGCAGAGGACCCUUAUCGUUCUGAUAUUUGAGCAGCUGGGAUCACCUCAUGCUAUACAAACGCUCCUAAUGAGUCGUAUUUAAGCUCACGAAACUGUCGCACAAAUAUUUGCCGAGGCUGAUUUCACUCACCAAAUAUUAUUUCCGAUCAGUCACGCAGAUCAUAUCGCCGAUAGGUGUAUAUUUAAUAGCAUCAAUACGACGCCGUCAAUAUUGCAUAUUUUCAACACAGUUAACUUUUCGAAUGUCACUGAAUGUGAUUGAAUACGGAAAAGAAAAUAUCGAUUUUCUUAAAAUCUAUAAAAUACGUCAUAUAAUGCGUAUAAAAAUUUUAAAGAUUUCACACAAUCAAUAAAAUAUAUUUACUGUAACGUAUGUCAUACAUAAUGGUUUUUAUAUAUGAAUUUAUUCAUCGUAAUAUUAACGUCUCUAAUAAUAUUUCAUCAAUGUGAUUUAAUAUUAUAAUAUUUAUUAAUAUUUCCAUUAGCGGUACUUUUCAGUUAGCAAGAUUUUCUUCGCGAUUACAUUUUACGAUACACUGCGCAGUCGUCCGAGUGUUAAUAAUCUAAAAAUUUUAAAAGAACGAUUCGCAUCAAAUGAGGCACUUACUUAAUUAAUUUGGGUCGGAAAAGAUCAAGGAAAAUCGAUUCGUUCGCUUGGACGACCACGGUCGAAUUAAUCGUGCGGUAAAACGCGAUAUCGCGCACGCUCUAAUUUCGAAUCCAUUUACCCUAAUCCUCGUGGUGGAAUCAGAAGAAGAGAUAGAAAGAAAGAGAGAGCGCAGCGUCGCGACGCUGUCACAUGCGUUAUCGAUCAGCGGCGAGGAGGAGGGUAGGAGGAGGAUAGAGGCAGGAACACAUCCACCGCACACAGCCGGUGACACGAGUGAACCCGGCCAUUUUGAAAACCACCGUGUUGCUUUGCCAUAAAAUCCUGGCUGUAACGUUUCACGACGGGUAUAUGGGCGAAAACACGCUCGUUAAAACGCGCGCGCGCGAGCGCGCCUGCCGUCGAAAAACUCUCGCGUUGCUGCUGUACGGAAAAAUCGAUGCCACCGCUUUAACGUCGCGAUAAAUCCUCCGGUAUUGCGCCGCGUAAACGCCGCAAUUUUUAUUAUUUCAAUUUUGCUCCGCGUUUCCACAGCCGCGUGUCCGACGUCUCCGCAAUUAUUCGUCGCGCUACGGAAUGUAAAUUCUUUUACGAGGAUUCCCUCGAGCCUCUCUCGGUUUCUCUAUCCGAGAGACACUAAAACUUCUCUACGAGUAUCGAUAUUUCCCUUGUUCACUUAAUAUCCGCGUAUGAACAAGUACGAGUACCGAUAAUAUACUGCCGCAGCAUAAAAUACACUACAAUGUAAAAAGCUUGACGUCGUAAAAGUGAAAUUGCCGAUAAUCGACGUCACUUUCAGAAUUAUCGUUUUCAAGUUGGCAUGAGUUAUUUAAUUUCCUACUGAAAAGUGCCCUUCCCGAGAAAUGGUGCAAAUUUAUCGGGCAACGUUACUAAUUAAAUCGAACGCCCGUAUGUGGUGACACACGCAAGUCGAUCGCGCAGCGCGAAUAUUAAUGGCAAAUAUUAAUAGAGUGAAUACGCAACAAUCGACAAAUUCAUUAUAGAGCGCGUGUCGGAUCGUGUUAUGUUAAUUGCGGCGUCGUUCCGCAUACAAAACGAAUGCAGGAGCCUCGGCACGGUAUUAUUUAUAAUUAUAACAACGUGCCGCGCUUGUAAUUGUCGUGUACACGACAUCGUAAGCGACACUGAUUGCGUUUUGCGGCCGCGUACCCGAUUUCGCGCUGACUGACUGAACAGUUCGUUAUACGCGCGCGCGCGCGCCUUACACACAGCCGAAUCACCGUAAUCGGCGCGCGCGAUUACUCGCAAGGACGAGCGGCGACUUUGAUUUCACGUUCACCGAGGCGAUUUACGAUACUUGGAGGUUUUCGGCAAAACGAUCGCGCCGAGAUCUGCUUAUACAACAUAAAGAAACGAAGAAAUCAUCGAGUUUCCAGUUGAAUAAAAACGAUCGGAAAUAUUAAUUGGCAUGUGUGAAGUUAAAUAAAAUGAUAUGCACAUAUUCAUGAAUAUCAAGAAAUUUAUGUAUCUCUGUGCAUGGAAAUUAUAAACACAUAAAUAAACGAGAGAUAUUCUUUUUGAAUAAUUAUUCUCGCGUAAUGAAAAAUAAAUGACACCGCGAGUGUUCAAAUAUAAAAAUAUUAUUCGAUGUUUCAAAUAAUAAUUUUUCUGCAAUGUUUAAACGGUACGUAAAUACAGGAACAUACGAGGGAAAGCCAGAUACACAUACAUAUACUUGGGCAGUAAAUGCGUUCUGCUUUACUGGCGAUGUGCCAACUAUCUGAGAGACGUGAGCAAAUCUACGCUGCUCAAUGUCUGCAUCAUCCGCUAACGCAAUGUGCAACAAUGACAGAAAAAUAAAACAAUGACACGUGCCGCAUUAUACGAUAAUGACUGCGAAUACGUAAUAAUCCUAUUUGCAUUAAAAUACGCAAAUCUAUUUAUAAUCUGAUUUGCAUGUAUAAAACCCUUAACUCACAGGUUACCACUUGCUGGGCGCGCACAUUGUUAACCGACCGUCGUGCAUACCGUAAAACGGUUACAGUAAUAGCUGUUUACGGUACAUUUCCGCUUUCUCCCGGGUUUCCUUUUAGAAAUGCAAAUGCGACGUCGUCGCGGAAAGGCCGAUUCCGAAUCGGAAAAACUCGUCAUCGUAAUUAAAGUGAUUCUACUAGCGCUGAUACCGCUCGCACAUCUCGCUUUCAACGCGGAAAGUGUACGGAAAUGUAACGGGCGUAAUGCAGUUUCAUUCCGCGAUUGAGAGAGAGAGAGACCACCACGCGCGCCAGCGUGUAUGCCGCGGAGACGUAACGAGUUCCUGCCUCGUAAAUAAAGCGCGCUCCUUUGACAGAGCGACGCCUCCACCCGCGUAUCGGCGGCGCUUUACGAGCUCGGCUCGUGAACUCGCGUCCCGAGUGCGAGAGUGCAUACACACAAGUACGCGCACUCGGCACUCGUCGAGUGCACGUACCGGUUGGGCGUAAAGUACGCGCGACAGCCCGCCGACUACAAAGCCCGUAUGGCGUGUGAAACACCGGUGCUGCGCGACGCGACACGACGAUGUCGGAUGGCGUGGCGGUACUCCCGGCGGACGUUGCCUGGAGUAAUAGCGCACGGAGAGAGGAAUCAGAGGAGAGACGGGAGGAGAGGAAAGAGCCAGAGAGAGAGAGAGAGAGAGAGAAAGGCAAACGAGCGAGAGACGUAGUAAGGAGCGCGUACUACAAGGCACUCAGGAAUCUUCUCGGUUCCCUAAUAGGCAGGUGACUGCCUGACUUGACUGCCGAGUGCCGGCGGUCCGUCGGCCUGCAGGCGAACAAUAAUACGACGACCAAGACGAUGACGAGUUGUCUCUGUCUGUGCUCUCUAUCUCUUUUUCUCUUGCCCAUCUACAUGCAUGCAUGCACGCUUCUGUGAGCCGCGACGUUCGAUCCGUACGCGCACGAACGAACGCCUCCACGCGAGGAUACUUAAAUUCAGGAUAUCGACACUUCUGCCUGUUCGGAUAGGUCGAAUACCUCGAGUGUCUGUGCUGUUGGAUACUAAAACGUUUUGAUGUCUUCUCGAUAUCGCUGAAGACACAAUUGGGAAAAGUUUUAUGAUAAUAUUGUCGCAAUAACUAUAUAUUAUUGGAAAAUAGCGUUAAUAAAUUAUUCUCCUAAAAUUGAUAAAAAAAUUGAAAAAUUAAAUACGGAUUUGGAAGAAGAAUACUUGAUAGAAAGUUUCAUAGUUAUAUACUGUUUCGUUCACCUAGUGGAAUUAAAAGAAAUCAAAUUAAAAUGCUCAAUAUCAGCAGUAAAUUCUAUUUUUAAAUCUUUUUAUAAUUCUCUCUUUCUCUCUUUCCUUCAAUAUUGGAUAUACAAAAGAUUGUAAAAUGUUCUCUUCUAAUUGUACCUACGCGGUUGGGUGCUUUGAAAACUUGUACUAAAUCUUGAGCUGCAAAUAAAUUUAACCCUUUAUCCAACGCUGAAACUUUUCGAUCAAUUAUUUCGACCAGGUCAAUCGCGCGUCGGGCUUUCAGCUUUUUACAUGGGGAAUCAAUUAACCCCUUUGUAACGCGUCGAUAAGCGCCAUAAAUGCGCGCGGGACGUACGAUACUAGGUUACCGCGACUAAAACCUCGCUAUUAGUCACGAAAGUCUACUCUAAUCUUUACAACCUGUAGUUUAAUCUUUAUGCAGUACCGUAAAUAACAUUAAUGUGAUCGUUCCUGAAUUUCGUGUUUCUUCAUCUCUAUGCGAGUCAUCAAAAAAUGUAGGAAUCUGAUUUGUUUUUUUUUUAAAUAAAGAUUAAAAAAAGUGUGCGAUGAGAAAUUAAAAACUUUAUUUUAGACACGUGGACAUAUGUGUAGCGCCACAGUGAACCAUUCGCGUUGCAUAAAUGAAUAAAAUAAUAAAAUUAUUAUCUAACGUCCAGAUCUUCUGAGCAAUUUCGCUGAGGCCAGUUGUAACGAGCUUUUACUCUUUUACAAACGAAAAUCAAUUAAUCUCUUUGUCACGCAUGGAUACGCACUAUGUACGAACGGAAGAAUAGACCUCGAAUGCGCGAUAAUAGCUUACAGCCGGCAAAAACCGUACAUUUAGUUACAAAAGCCUACGGUCAUAUCUCACAUUUAAAUAUCAGCAUACACAAUUUCCACUGCAUGUUGCACAAUUUUCAUGUUGCAUUUCAGCUUUUACGUAAACAUUUCAUUAAUUUCCAAGUUGAUUACAUUAUAGACGGCUGUUUCAGACAGCAAAUAUUAUUUUAAUAAUAAUCGCGUAUUAUCUUCCUUCGUAUCAUCAAUCUUUCAUAAUCAUUUAUCAUCUCUCUAAUUAAUCUUUCAACUUUCUAUUAUUAGCACUUUCCGCAUUUUUCCUUACGCACGCAGGGCUUCGCAGUCGCGAGAAAUCCGGUUGCACAAAAGAUAUCAAUCGAUUUAACAACUACAUGAAAAUAUACGAGAGCGAAUAAAGGCGAGAGCUGCGCAACUUUAUCGGUCCGAUAAACCGAAAAUCAGACGGAAAUUUCACGAGGCUUGCGGCAUCAAUUAUCGGCUUGGCGAGAAAACGUUUCCGCGUCGGCGACACGUAGGCGUAUCGCUGUGUGCGAACUUUGCCGUUCAAGUGACGGCAGCAAAUAUACUUUGUACGCGUAAUAUACGUGUGCCCGUGUUAUCCGAUAUAGGCGUUUUACAUACCUGGUCGCGCGGUUGCCUGAUAAUCUCACCGCUCCCGUCACACGGGAUACUUUACGGCUUGCGCGACGCUCGUGAAGAAUUAAGACGCAUCCGACACGAACGAGUCGUUAAUCAGCUUUACGAGCCGCGGAUAAUGCAGCCGACUCGGUUGCAUAAGCGCGCGACCUUAUCUGCGCGGUUUAGAGCGAUGCGAAAGAAGAAUCGCCGGCAGAAAUCGGUGGCCGAUCUGCGUGUUACGCUGACGAAUGGACCGCUAAGAGGUCGUAAAUUAAAAAAGAAAUGAAAAACGUGGAGCGACCGUUUGGCGCGUGCGUCGAUUGGAAAAAUAUUCGAUAUCCGGUCGGAUGAAAAGGCGAAAAGAGCUCCGGAGCCUCAAAAACGCCGCGUCGUUAUUACUAUGGCGGAAAAGCGGCCAAAAAAACUACGGCACUCUGCAGCUAAAUUGCGCUUUUCUAAAUGAAUCCUCAAACAAGCGCGAGUGCGUGCGUGAAGCGGGGUCGCGCUUUUCUCCGGCACGCGCAAUCGAUAUGGAGCAUGCACCGCCCGGCGCGGAUAUCGAAUUGGAGUGUUUGGCGUGCGCUCGUCCGCACGCACGAGACAGCGGAUCGCCCGACAACAUCGCGUAUGCAUAAUACGAGACAAUAUAACUCAGCUCCGGGUACGCCGCACAAUUAGUGUGCAUGCGGUCGUCGCGGGCCGUGGCGCAAGCCGCAAUACGCGCGUGCAUCGCCGACAUCGCCGACGCCCAUGUGAGUCGCGCUAGCGCGACACGCUUGUACGAGUACGUGCGAGCGUGCGUACGUAUGUGCGUGCGUGCGUACAUGCGUGAGGCAAGCUACCGCCCGCGGUUGUCGAGUAGUCGUCGUCGCUGUCGCGUCUGUAAUUGUGCUUUUCCAUCUCCGCAUUUCCAUCUCCCGCGCCUCACACAGAGAGAAGCGACGAGAAUAAUGUGCGACCGUGUAAUACGAGCGAGCGUGAUAGCAUGCGCAGCUUCGUGUUGAAAAGCGAGACGUGACGAAUACGAGAACGAGAAAGCAGAUUGCAUAAAGAUGGACAAAGAAAGUCGCAUACGCGUCGCGCCGGCAGUGCGAGCGACAUUAUGACAGGAGUGACUGCGAUAGCAUGAGGGAUGUUCUUCAGAGAGAGGAAGAGAGAGAGAGAGAGAGAUGUUUGAUACGCUUGAUCCAACAGAGAAAGAGAGAAAAACGAUCGGAGUGAGGAGGAAGCUGAAAAGGAAUAGGUGCAGGCUGCACUACGAGAAAAGGGUGACGAGCGCAAUAUUGCAUCGGAGCAAGGAAGAUGGAGUACAUGCUCGUUGCACUCGACGGAGUCGACACGCUUCGGCCGCGAGUGCGGCGAGGAUGGUGCGAGAGGACAGCGCGGAGCGCAUCGGCCGCUUCCGUGUAACGUACGCGUGAUAAGGACGCGCGAUUGCACCCUCGCCGUCGGAUGAGAAACGGAGAGCGACGUUGUCGCAUGAGGGGGUGGAAUAGAGAACGACAUGCUUUGCCGCAAGCGUGAGGAGUGAAGGGCGCUGCCUUGCUGAAGAGAGAAACUGUAGGAAA
Ooceraea biroi (clonal raider ant) is the source of this 13230-nucleotide long non-coding RNA. RefSeq lists it as uncharacterized. The record is from RefSeq and is a predicted model, not a curated record. NCBI's taxonomy places the organism in Eukaryota, Metazoa, Arthropoda, Insecta, Hymenoptera, Formicidae.